UACGUAGGGUGCGAGCGUUAAUCGGAAUUACUGGGCGUAAAGCGUGCGCAGGCGGUUUUGUAAGCCAGAUGUGAAAUCCCCGGGCUCAACCUGGGAAUGGCAUUUGGGACUGCAAGGCUGGAGUGCGGCAGAGGAGACUGGAAUUCCUGGUGUAGCAGUGAAAUGCGUAGAUAUCAGGAGGAACACCGAUGGCGAAGGCAGGUCUCUGGGCUGACACUGACGCUCAUGCACGAAAGCCAGGGGAGCAAACGGG
RNAcentral lists this ribosomal RNA (253 nucleotides) under uncultured bacterium. Its description in RNAcentral is "partial 16S ribosomal RNA". It matches the Rfam family "Bacterial small subunit ribosomal RNA", at positions 524 to 776 of the family's 1533-position model. The record is from RNAcentral.